This 1362-nucleotide ribosomal RNA is filed under the name Triticum aestivum (bread wheat). Its description in RNAcentral is "partial small subunit ribosomal RNA". The record is from RNAcentral. Lineage: Eukaryota; Viridiplantae; Streptophyta; Magnoliopsida; Poales; Poaceae.
ACCAUCCUUCUUGUUCCCAAGCUUCAGUUUUGCGAUUCACUCGCUCCCAGUUCCCGCUGUCCCGGUGUAGUAAUUCUUUGCCCUUGUGAAUAGAACUGCUAUUAUCAAGGGUGGGAAAACAGAGCAGCUAUUUAGAGAAUGGAGUGCAGCGGCGACGAGGUGGUGGAGCUGAACUGUGCCCGCGCCGGCGGAGAUCCCGGGGAGUACGCCGCGGUGCUGAAGAGGAAGCUGCAACUGUACUGCGCCGCCGUGGCCAAGACUAUGGAAGCUAAACCUCAAGAAUCUUCUUUGAACUGCCUCAAUUCACAAGCUUCGGACACUUCGCCAUUGGUUUCUCAAGCUUCUUUUGAUGGUGACGGUACUGUUGUUCAAGGAAAGCCAGCUAAUAGUUGUACAUCAAAGGAGCAGUCAGAUGAUGAUGAUGGGGAUCUCGAGGAAAAUACAGACCCUGCCAGUGCCAAGCGCGUGAAGAGGAUGCUGUCAAAUCGAGAAUCUGCCAGGAGGUCAAGGAAAAGGAAGCAAGCCCACCAAAAUGAUAUAGAAUCACAGGUUACCCAGUUAAGAGCUGAUAAUGCAUCUUUGCUAAAGCGCCUGACUGACAUGACUCAGAAAUACAAGGAAGCUUUCCUUGGCAACAGGAAUCUUACAGUUGAUAUUGAGACUAUGAGGAGAAAGGUGAAUAUAGCUGAAGAAGCUGUCAGGAGAGUAACUGGGGCAAGCUUGAUGUUCUCCACUACGUCAAACAGGGCGCCCUUGGCUUCAUGUGUAUCUGUUGCAGCUUCUGCUGAUGCUGCUCCCGCAGAGGAAAGCAUGAGCCAUUUCCUCCAGGGUUUACUUGAAGACGAUAUGAUCAAACAUGACCUCUCAGAGGUAGCAACCCCUUUGCCCAAUGGGGAAGAGAUGACCUCAAGGCCGGCCCCUUUGCGACGCGUCGCGAGCCUGGAGAACCUGCAGAAGAGGAUCCAUAGAGAUUCAGUGCACUCUGAGGACACGUCGAUUUUCUCGGACCAUGAAGUCCCUGCCAAUGCUCAGUAACUGGAUUGUGUAAUUCUCCAGUGGGCUAAGUUUUGUCGUAAAGUAUGGAGGCUGUGGCGUCCGUGUAUAUCUGGAUGCUGAACUUUGUGUAUACUAUUUUGAAGGUAAAUAACCUGCACUUCAGUCUUCUGAUCCUGCUGCUUCUUCGCGCUUCUCAGCCUUGUGAAUAUCGUGCACAGGCAGAUAACUGUACUGCACAUGUCAGUGAUGAGCAGAACCGUGUUUUCCAUUUGGUGAACCUUGUGAUGGUACUGAGGAAUUGUGCCUAAAUUUUGAAAGGGCUGUUGAACUCUCUCACUGAACUCAUUAUAUAUGGGGAACUAUUUG